GAUUAAUGCUGGUGGUAUGCAUAACACAUGCAAGUCGAACGAAGAGGGUUUACUCUCUUAGUGGCGAACGGGCGAGUAACACAUAUUUAACUUACCUGCACGAGGAGAAUAGCAACUCGAAAGAGUUAUUAAUACUCCAUAGGUUUGAGACCCAAAUUAAAGGGAGCGUUCUGGGAAACUAGAGCUUCGCGAGCAGAGAGGAGUAUGUCCUAUUAGGUUGUUGGUGGGGUAACUGCCUACCAAGCCGAUGAUGGGUAGCUGGACUGAGAGGUCGACCAGCCGCAAUGGGAUUGAAAUACGGCCCAUAUUCCUACGGGAAGCAGCCAGUGAGGAAUUUUUCACAAUGGACGAAAGUCUGAUGGAGCAAUACCAUGUGAACGAUGAAGGUCUUCUGAUUGUAAAGUUCUUUUAUUUAGGAAAAAAAGCUUGAUAGGAAAUGAUUAAGCCUUGAUUGUACUAAAUGAAUAAGUGACAGCUAACUAUGUGCCAGCAGCUGCGGUAAAACAU
This 507-nucleotide ribosomal RNA is filed under the name Candidatus Mycoplasma haematominutum. RNAcentral describes it as "bacterial SSU rRNA". It matches the Rfam family "Bacterial small subunit ribosomal RNA", at positions 28 to 528 of the family's 1533-position model. Lineage: Bacteria; Bacillati; Mycoplasmatota; Mollicutes; Mycoplasmatales; Mycoplasmataceae. The record is from RNAcentral.